UACGGAGGGGGGCUAGCGUUGUUCGGAAUUACUGGGCGUAAAGCGCACGUAGGCGGCUUUGUAAGUUAGAGGUGAAAGCCCCCGGGCUCAACCUGGGAGGUGCGCUUGAUACUCGAGGGCUUGAGUGCGGGAGAGGAGAGUGGAAUUCCCAGUGUAGAGGUGAAAUUCGUAGAUAUUGGGAAGAACACCGGUGGCGAAGGCGGCUCUCUGGACCGUAACUGACGCUGAGGCGCGAAAGCGUGGGGAGCAAACAGG
This 255-nucleotide ribosomal RNA is filed under the name uncultured bacterium. RNAcentral describes it as "partial 16S ribosomal RNA". It matches the Rfam family "Bacterial small subunit ribosomal RNA", at positions 524 to 776 of the family's 1533-position model. The record is from RNAcentral.